This 209-nucleotide unclassified non-coding RNA is filed under the name soil metagenome. Its description in RNAcentral is "partial contains 5.8S ribosomal RNA, internal transcribed spacer 2, and large subunit ribosomal RNA". The record is from RNAcentral.
AACGCACGAGACCUGCGGACCUGCGGAAGGAUCAUUACAUGAUUUGAGGGGGCUCACGUCCCCUCAUCCAACCCACAAACCCCGAGGAACUUUUAUGUCGAGUGGUUCGGCGCUCUCUUUGAGAGCCGCCCCUCAAACGCAUCGCAGGCUUUUCGUGAAGGUCUGAUGUGUCACAUCGUGAGUAUUAGAACUUUUAACAACGGAUCUCU